Molecule: ribosomal RNA, 385 nt
Filed under: uncultured bacterium
Lineage: Bacteria
Description: bacterial SSU rRNA
Rfam family: Bacterial small subunit ribosomal RNA
Source: RNAcentral
AUUAAACGCUGGCGGCAUGCCUUACACAUGCAAGUCGAACGGCAGCACGGGGGCAACCCUGGUGGCGAGUGGCGAACGGGUGAGUAAAGCAUCGGAACGUGCCCUGGAGUGGGGGAUAACGUAGCGAAAGUUACGCUAAUACCGCAUAUUCUGUGAGCAGGAAAGCAGGGGAUCGCAAGACCUUGCGCUCUGGGAGCGGCCGAUGUCGGAUUAGCUAGUUGGUGGGUAAAGGCCUACCAAGGCGACGAUCCGUAGCGGGUCUGAGAGGAUGAUCCGCCACACUGGGACUGAGACACGGCCCAGACUCCUACGGGAGGCAGCAGUGGGGAAUUUUGGACAAUGGGCGCAAGCCUGAUCCAGCCAUGCCGCGUGCGGGACGAAGGCC